GUGCUCACUUCGGUAGCACAUAUACUAAAAUUAGAAUAAUACAGAGAAGACUACUAGCAUGGCCUUGGUAUGAAGAUGACACACAAAUUCAUGAAGCGUUCCAAUAAAUA
Molecule: small nuclear RNA, 110 nt
Organism: Cercocebus atys (sooty mangabey)
Lineage: Eukaryota; Metazoa; Chordata; Mammalia; Primates; Cercopithecidae
Source: Ensembl